CCUACGGGUGGCAGCAGUGGGGGAUAUUGCACAAUGGGGGGAACCCUGAUGCAGCGACGCCGCGUGGGUGAAGAAGCGCCUCGGCGCGUAAAGCCCUGUCAGCAGGGAAGAAAAUGACGGUACCUGAAGCAGAAGCCCCGGCUAACUACGUGCCAGCAGCCGCGGUAAUCCGUAGGGGGCAAGCGUUAUCCGGAUUUACUGGGUGUAAAGGGGGCGCAGACGGCGAUGCAAGCCAGGAGUGAAAGCCCGGGGCCCAACCCCGGGACUGCGCUUGGAACUGCGUGGCUGGAGUGCAGGAGGGGCAGGCGGAAUUCCUGGUGUAGCGGUGAAAUGCGUAGAUAUCAGGAGGAACACCGGUGGCGAAGGCGGGCGUCUGGACUGCAACUGACGUUGAGGCCCGAAAGCGUGGGGAGCAAACAGGAUUAGAUACCCUUGUAGUC
RNAcentral lists this ribosomal RNA (440 nucleotides) under uncultured bacterium. RNAcentral describes it as "partial 16S ribosomal RNA". It matches the Rfam family "Bacterial small subunit ribosomal RNA", at positions 338 to 795 of the family's 1533-position model. The record is from RNAcentral.